AACGUAGGACGCAAGCGUUAUCCGGAGUUACUGGGCGUAAAGCGCGGGCAGGCGGCUUCGCAAGUUCGAUGUGAAAUCUCUCAGCUCAACUGGGAGCAGCCAUUGGAAACUACGAAGCUGGAGUCUGGCAGAGGUAGGCGGAAUUCCGGGUGUAGUGGUGAAAUGCGUAGAGAUCCGGAGGAACCCCAGAGGCGAAGGCGGCGUCCUGGCUCGCAUCUGACGCUCAGACACGACAGCAUGGGGAGCGAACGGG
This 253-nucleotide ribosomal RNA is filed under the name uncultured bacterium. RNAcentral's name for it is "partial 16S ribosomal RNA". It matches the Rfam family "Bacterial small subunit ribosomal RNA", at positions 524 to 776 of the family's 1533-position model. The record is from RNAcentral.